Molecule: non-coding RNA, 3421 nt
Organism: Callithrix jacchus (white-tufted-ear marmoset)
Lineage: Eukaryota; Metazoa; Chordata; Mammalia; Primates; Cebidae
Source: RefSeq, a predicted model, not a curated record
CUUAAGAAAUACAAAUGGUACACUUUGUUUAUAUUACUCAGAUUGUUAUGCGAUAAUUGGUCACUAACAGUUAAGGGAUACCGCAAAUGAUGUUGCAGGAGAUGUUCAGUUACUUCUGAAGAUCAGAGAUGAUUUUUGCCUAAGUCAAACUUUGGGAUAUCCCUAACAUGUAUUGUCUGGUUCUUUGUGUUUAUUUUGGCAUUAAGUACAAAUUUAAGUAUUUCCAUGAAGAGACUCAAGCGCAAUCAUAAUUUUCACAAGACUAGGUCAUAUGUUGGCUAUGCAAGCAUUUGCUGACUAUUUGCUGUACAGGAACACAGGCCUCACAAGGAUGGCUCUGGGAACAUUAUGCAAAGGGAGUUAUUAAGAAAUUAGCUUUAUGAUCCCUCUGGGGUAUCUUCCUCCGCCUGUGCAAUGAAGAGAGUGGUUUGGAGGAGGCUUGUGGCCUUUAACAUUUUAUGUGUAUAAGGAUCACUGUCAUCCAGACAUUGGAACUGUUAAAAUUCCAUGGCACUCUACCAGAGUAAUUGUGACCCAGCUUUAUUUCUUUAAAUGCAGUUAAGGUUUUGCUGAAUUUUUAGUGUUUAAGAGACUGCGUUGGGGGUACCAGUUGAUAGGAAGAGAAAAUAACAGGUUUCUGCCCCUGAGUUGACACUCUUGAGUGGAGCACAACUGUGCACGGUGAGCCAAAGGGUGAGGCAGGCCUUGUGGUUGAUUUUAGGGUAUGUGAGGAUCAGUUGUAGGAAACGAGACAGGAAACAUAUUCAGGGAAUAGAUUGUAGGGACCUUGAUUGCCCUUUUGGGACACAAGGCUUCAUUCCAUUAAAAAGUGAAUUAGCAUUAAUAAGGGAAGGCUUGGGCUGAUUUAGGCCUACCUGAGAAUGACCUUUGACCUCCUACACUCUAUGUCCUUGAAAACAGUAAAAGUUAAGAUAAUUGGGGGAUGUUGUGCUUGCCUUGAUUGUCACAUGGAGCUGUCCCUCCAUUGGGAAGCUGUGAAUUGGCCUGGGGACAUUUGGCAUGCCUGAGGGUAGUAUAAAAGAUUGACAGGAAAAGGGGCUGUGGCUUUUUUCACCAACAAGAUCCACAAACAUCUUGCCCAUCAUUCAUGGCAGUCAUACCUGACCUGUGUAGAUGAAGGGCAGAAGUAGCUGUAGACUUGGGUAGCUGCCAUGCCUCCCAUCAAGAUGACGUUGUGGUCCCCUGAUGUGUUUCCUCUCCUGUGUAAGCAAAGUAAAUAUUGCAUUAAAUGGAGACCAGUUUGUGUCUUGGGACUGUGGUUGCCAGCUUGAUCUCAUCACCGUAGCUGUGGCUCUGCGCUGACACCUUGAAAUGGAAGGUUAGCAUUACAAACUGGGCUAACUGGGCUUGUGCUGGGGAUGUGGGGGAUCUGAAUGGGGGUUACAGCAAUGACAAGGUGAGAAUAGGGAGAAUCAUCUGCCUCCAGGACAGGCACUGAGACUCCUGUCAGCAGUUCUGUCACAUGGUCUGGGGAAGAAGGAAGAAUAGAACUUUCAACUAUAGCUCUGGUGAGAGGUCUGAAUGAGACCAGGGGCUCUUCUUAGCUGUUUAAACAUUUUUAAAGUUUUUAUUUUAAAUAACAAAAGUUAACAGUGCUUAUAUAUGCCAAGCACCAUUCCAGAUGUUUUAUUUUAUUUACUUUUAUUAUUUUGUUUUUGAGACAGGGUCUUCCUUUGCUACCCAGGCUGCAGUUCAGUGGCGUGAUCAUGGCUCACGGCAGCCUCAACCUCCUUAGGCUCAAACGGUACUCCUAACCUCGGCCUCUCAAAGUGCUAGGAUUGCAGGAGUGAGCCAUGGCUCCUGGCCCAUUCCAGACAUUUUAUAAAUAUUAACUCAUUUAAUUCUUCCAACAACUUAAUACUAUUUAUAGUUGCCUCAUGAGAAAAUUGAGGCACAAAGAAGUUGAGUGACUUGCCCAGGUCAUGUAGGUUAGUAAAUGGUGAAGCUGAGCUUUGAAUCCAGGCAGUCUGCCUCUAGACUCCCUUCUCUAAACUCCUCUGGUUCCUAUAGCUUCACUUCACUAUUCUUCCUCAUAAGUGAUAAGUGGUUUCUGGUUUUGCUCCAGUGUUUGCGUUUCUUUGUGGCUGCUCAAGAUGAACCAAUUCUUCGGGAAAGUAAAACCCAAGGCUCCGCCACCCAGCCUGACUGACCACAUUGGCACUGUGAACAGCAGGGCAGAGUCCAUUGACAAGAAGAUUUCUCGAUUGGAUGCUGAGCUAGUGAAGUAUAAGGAUCAGAUCAAGAAGAUGAGAGAGGGUCCUGCAAAGAAUAUGGUCAAGCAGAAAGCCUUGCGAGUUUCAAAGUAAAAGUGGUUGUAUGAGCAGCAGCAGGACAAUCUUGCCCAGCAGUUGUUCAACAUGGAACAAGCCAAUUAUACCAUUCAGUAAUUGAAGGACACUAAGACCAUGGGUGAUGCUAUGAAAUUGGGAGUACAAGGAAAUGAAGAAGGCAUACAAGUGAAAAUUGACCAGAUGAGGAUUUACAAGACCAGCUAGAGGAUAUGAUGGAAGUUGCAAAUGAAAUCCAAGAAUCACUGAGUCGCAAUUAUGGCAACCCAGAACUGGAUGAAGAUGACCUGGAAGCAGAGUUGGAUGGACUGAAUGAUGAGCUUCUGGCUGAUGAAGACAGUUCUUAUUUGGAUGAGGCAGCAUGUGCACCUACAAUGCCAGAAUGUGUUUCUACCGACACAAAAACGAGGAUGGAGCUCCGGUGGAUGAAUUUGGAUUGCCACAGAUCCCUGCUUCAUAGAUUUGCAUCAUUCACGUAUAUCUUGUAAAAAAAACCACAUAUUAUGAGACUAGGAAAUAGUUAUCUUUCCAAAUUUACCACAACAGAUUUAGGUUUCUUUCCUUUCUUUGAAGGAAAGUUUAAUUACAUUGCUCUUUUAUUUUUUUCUGUUAAGAGACUCAUUGCUUGGGAAGUGUUUUCUUUUUACUAAAAUUUGAUUCCUUUUUUUCUUAUGAAAAACAAACUUGGUUUAAAAAUAUCUUUGGCUUGUAUGACUUGUUUUCAUUCAUUAUUAAUACUUUGAAAUAAAAGUAAGGAAAUGGAAUCUUAAAAAUCUAUGACAAUGUAACUCCACAGUCUUAAAAUGACCUAAUAAAUUGAUAAGACAAAGAUGAGAUUAUCAAGGCUGUUCAUAUUAUGAUUCAGAAUCAUUUUCUAUCGCAGUAUUAUAGGUUGGUUAAAGUGAUGGCCUUUUUGAUGGGUUUUGUUGUGUUUUGUGAACAAAUCAUUACUGUGUCCAAUAUUAGAAUGGAAUGAUCACUACUGUAUCAUGAGUGGGUAUUUUGAUUCUGUGGUUCCCUCAGUAUUACAUCUUGACUUGUAAUCAAUAAUGAAUAUUUCUUGAUAUUUAAGGUAUAGGACAUUUAUACUCAGUAAAUAUUUUUCAAAAGGA